CUAAAUCUGCCCUACAAUUUCUGCCGAAUUUCCCUUUCCUUUUCUCUUUAAUUCCUGCACCUUUCUUGCCUAUUUUUUGACCCAAAAUCACAUUCCUUUUCCUACAUAAAUCUUUCCCUAAAACCACUUCAAAUUUGUAGCCCUUCCUUCCCCUAUAAAUAAAGGUCCUUGCUGACCAUUAUAAGCAUUCCACCCUUCACCAUAACCUACCUACAUCCAUCCACCACCAUAAUUCACCACAAAUCAUCACCAAACACCCUUGUGUCGCAGCAAAGAAGAAAGAAGGAGACCCUUGGAUGUGCUUGCCAUUCAAGACGUUGGAUUGUUGGAGCGUUUCUAGGUGUUUUCAUUCUUUGUUUUCAAUGUCUAAAUUUAUGUAUCUUUGUUUUGCGUUUAUGAGGAACUAAACCCUAUUGGGUUAGGGGUGAUUUCGAAGCCAUGACUAUGUGUGCAAUUUGAUUUGAUAAAUUCCAGUUAUGAGUUCUUGAAUCGUGAAUGCAAUUGGCUUAACUGUGCGAGUAAUAACUUAUUUGUGUUUGUUAAUUAGGGGUCGACACUUAAUUGGCUUGCAUGAAUAUGAUGCUAGAAUAUAAGGUUGUUUCACAUAAUCGUCACACACUUAUAUUCAUAUGUAGUGAAGGUCGCUAGUCACGAUCGCGUUAAGUCCAAUUCCUAGCAUGAGUGACAUGAUGUCAUAGUUGCAAGUGCUUUGUCAAUGCUUAUAGUUUUCAUUGAACAUAAUGAUCUUUGAUUAUCUUUAUUAUGAUGUCAUGUAGGGAACUUUUGAGGAAUGCUUUGGGUUGUCGAAUGAUGUCAUCCAAUCCAAUAACACAAGGAAAACUUGAGAAUUAACUAGUGAUGUCACGGUUAAUUUGGGGCAUUGUCAUUCAUAAUUCAAUGAAGGAAUAACUGGAAAUCAAGUCGUUUGCAUACUUGUCAUGUGUGGAGAAAGAGUCUCUAACUAAUCCAUCAUCCAUUUUCAAAUCUGUUUUUACUUUGCAAUCUGUUUUGUCAGUUUAUUUUCGUCCAAAUCAAACCCCCAUUUAUUGUGAAGUCCUAGAUUAGUUAGAAAGUGUUUUUAAGUGUUUUGAGCCUUUAGAAACCCAAAUUUCGUCCAAAUUGUGUUUAGAGCUCAAAACUGCCCAGUUUGUGUUUUUAGGCAGUUUUGAGUCUUUUGGUUUGUUUUAGUGUUUUAAAUUUUAGUUUUGCAUUCUUUGAGUCUAGUUUAGUGUUUUAAACUUUGUUUUUAUGUUUUUAAGUCAGUUUUCAAGUGUUUAGCAAUCCCUCCUAAUCCCCGGUUUAGAACGAUCCCUACUUACAUACUUUGCUACAAUUGACAAAAAGAGGGUUUAAUUUGUGUGUUAAGUUAAUUUCUGAUAGGAGCAUAUUUAUGCGACUUAGUUGGCUUGUUCUUGUGCAUUUAUGUCGUGUUUCCUUAGUUAUUUUAAGGUUUAAAGUCAUUUUCGUGUGUUUUCAGAUUUUAAGGACAAAGUAGGCAAGAAGAUGCAUUUUGGAGCAUUUUGGAGCAAAAUGGAGCUUGGAAUGCAUGUCACAUAUUUGGAACCAAGGUUAGGACGAAAUUGAAGACUUAAAGAGGCUAAGAAUGUGAAGAAUUAGUGUACAAAGGAUCAAGAACUCAGCCACAAAAGGACACACAUCCUUGCCGUGUAAUCCACAUAGCAUUCCCUUUGGAUUCCCAUGCAUGCUUAAUCAUCCUUGUCCCCUAAAAUAUUUCUGAUUUCAUGCCUCAAUACACUCCAUUAUCACACUCAAUUGCUGCAUACCUCUUGUUCCCUUCACCCAUCAGAUUUCACACAACUUUCACAACCAUUCCAUGCACCAAUUGAUGCUCCAUCAUCCACAUUUGGGAUCCAAUGCCGUGUGCAACACAUGUUGCUGCACCUUUGACUAAUUUCUGAAACAUUUCACCUCCCCUUUUCAUUUCCAUGCAAUGAACUCAAUCAUUCAUGCUCCCUAGCUGAAAUACCACUCCAUUUUACCCUCCAUACUUUGCAUCAUUGCUCCAUUUUCAUCCUUGGACCAUUGCACACCACAAAUUCACCCUCCUUGCUGUGCAUUUCCCCCACUGCCUAAUCUGAUUCUCUAGGGUUUUUGGGGCCUAUAUAUACAUGUUUACAAGCCUUGGCAAAGGGUUGAACCUCCCAUAUUCAUCAUUCAUGCAAAAAAUUCGUCCAUACUCACCUUAGGCAGCAAAACACCCCAAAAACACCAUUUUAGUGCCCAGAAAACAUAACAGCCACUCCACCUUAUUCCACCCUCUUUGCCGAGUUUUCCACCACCCUCCAACCAUCAAACACUCCUCCACACUCACCCUAAACCUUUCUAUAUCAUUCCUCAUCCAUUCUACACCAUAAAACUACCCAAAACUUGUCCACAAACCAAUCUGCCGCAAGCAAGGGAAAGGAGAAUUCUUGGAUGCACUUGCUGCCAAGUUGGAGCAUUCUAGGUGUUUUCUUUCUUUGGAUUUUAAUGUCUAAUUCAUGUAAUCUUUGUUUUGCUUUAAGUAUGAUUGGCUAAUUUUGUUUUGGCUAAGGGUGUAUUCAAAACCAUGAUUAUAUAUGUGAAAUAAGUUGACUACUUCCAGUUAUCGUUGCAUAAGUUGUGAAUACAAUUUGCUUAACCGUUGGAUUUAGAACUUAUUCUUGCAUGUUGAUUGAGAGUGCACGCUUGAUUUGCAUGUUUGAAUUUGGUGCUAGGAUAUAAAUUUGUUUCACCUAAUCGUUAUGAAUUUAUAUUCGCAAGUAGUGAAGGUCGUUAGUCACGAUCGUGUUAAGUAAAUUCCUGGCAAGAGUAUCAUGCUUUCCAUAGAAUGUAAUGAUUCUAACUUAUGUCUUUAUCAUGCUGUUCAUAUAGAGAACUUGUUAGGAAUAAUUUGUUUGCGAUGCAUAUUCAUCCGAUUCAAUGAUUCUAGGGAAAUCUGAAGGUUAAUUUAAGCGGACCUAAUUAACUUGGAGUGUCGAGGUUCAUAACUUAUUCAAUUGAUAACUGGAAAUCGAUUUAGGUUGCAUAUAUUUCAUGUGUGGAGAAGAACCCCUUAGCCAUUCCAUCAUCCAUUGAUUUUUCAUAACUUUGUAUUACAAUCUGUUUCUCUUACAAUCUGCCAUUUAAGUUUAUUUUCGUCCAAAUCAAAUCCCCAAUUAUUUUGAAUUCCUAGAUUAAUUGGAAAGUGUGUUGGUUUAUGUUUUUAAGUGUUUUGGUACAAGUUAAAACCCAAAUUCGUCCAAUUUGAUGCUUUGUGUUCAAAACUGCCCAGAAAGUGGUUUUUAGGCAGUUUUGAGUGUUUGGUUGCUGUUUUGAUUCUUUUGGUUCGUUUUAGUGUUUUAGAGUUUAGUUUUGCAUUCUUUGAGUCUAGUUUCGUAUUUUUAAACUUUGUUUCACAGAUUUGAGUCAGUUUAGAGUGUUUUAGCAAUCCCUCCUAAUCCCCGGUUUAAGAACGAUCCCUACUUAUCCAUACUACAAUUGUCAACAAGAGGGUUAAUUUGUGUGUUAACUUAUUUUUCACACCAAUUUCCUCUCAGGUUUUUUAUUCCUAAGGAAGAAGAGAGUGAAAAAGAGAUCGUGGAAGCCCUUCCCAAGGUGCAAAGUGAUAUCCCAAUUCUUGGUACACCAAAACAAGUUCCAGAUUGUGUUGAAAUCCCUGAAGAGAAUUGUACACCAAGAAGAAGGAUUCAAGAGAAGAAAGUGGCUGGGGAGUAUCUAGAAUUCAUCAAAGAGCAUGUACUUGAGACAACCAUCCCCAAAGAAGUUGAAUUUGAUGACACGGGACAAAUCACAACCAUCGUAGUAAAUCUGGCCAAAUUCAAAGUCCCUGAAACUUUCAAAGAAGUGGUGUUUGUCAUUGAGUUCUUGUCGGACAAAGCAAGUAAGUCACCUUCUCCAAUUUCCAUUACGUUUUAUACUUACAUGUUGUUAAUAAUUCAAGCACCCACUCUCGAAUUUAAACCAUUGCUGGAUCACUUCAAGUAUCACCUUCCGUUCAAGGAUCAAUUCCAUGCUAUGGGACCUACGGGAGCUUAAAGAGAAGUAUCGUCCGGCUGCAAGACGUUAAAGCAAGCGCUACGUGGGAGGCAACCCAUGCAUUCAACAAAGGAAGACUUAGGAAUCACUCCAAUUCCAGAUUUGCGUUCCUAAAACCCUUAUCUUUGUUGAUUAUUUCUAAUAUGCCAGUUUAUUUGUUUAGUUGCUGUUUAUGUGUUUACUUUUAUUUGGUGUGAUUUAAGUGUGGGGGGGUAACUAAGUGUUUUUGAUGCAAAUUCGUGGGAUUUUAUCACCCAUUACUUAUAGACUUGUUCCUUGCUGUUUUUAAGUGUUUUUAAGCAGUUUUAGUGUGUUUCAGUGUGUUGACAUAAAACUCCGAAAAUCACAUAACAAUUUGAAAUAAAGUGUUUUGAAAAGCCUAAAAAGAGUGUUUUGAGUUGUUUUUGUGUGUUUGUGUCUAGGGUACCUUCCAACACAAUGAUGAGGAUUUGGUUUGUAAUUACAUGGUUGUUAAAGAGAGUUAUAAAAAUGGAUGAAAGUUUGAUUUACUCUUUGUUCAUGCUUGGUUGUGGUUAUAACUUAUGAAUUCGCAUGCAAUCUUAAAGAAAAAAAAUCAGUUUUGUAACAUGCUUGAAGGAAGGAACUCGAAUUAACGCUACAACCUUGUGAGACUUGAGCCUAAACGUUUAUUUGGAGAGCUAAAAUCUGUGCAUUUUUGUUUUCUAAAGUCAUUGCAUGAUCUCAUUAUUCUUUGCUUGGUUACUACUUAGAAGGCGUUUCAUCAUUUAGUUCCAAAUGCUAGAACUCAUGCCCAUUUCAUUCAAAGCAUGUUAUUGAUUUGCAUAACACAUGUUCAAGUUGAAGUUGUGUAGUGACCACCACCGAAACCAAAUUGCCAUGUAUCCUACUUCAUUAUAUGUUUAAGUUAACCCCAUUGAGCCUUGUUAGCCUACAUUCGUUGUUAACCCACGUUAUCCUCACCUAGCCUAGAUCAGGACCAUCCUUACCCUUGUUCUUAAAGCAUAGUAAAGCAUGAUUUAAAUUGAAUUCCUUUUGAUUAAUGUUUGGCAGAAAAUAAGUGUGGGGGAGGUGUUUUUUUUUAUGUGGAUUUGUGUGCCAUAGGCACGGGUAGAAAAAAAAGAAAAGAAAAAAAAAAUUUCGUGGAAAAUAUAAAGAAAAAAAGAAAAGUUGUGAAAAGAGUAAAAAGAGUUGAAAGAUGUGAAAAAGAGUUCUAAAGUAGUGUUUGUUGAAGAAAGGGUCCAAAAUGUUGUAUUUGACCCUAAGUGUUGCUUAAAUCUUCCCUUUGUGUUCAAAGUUAAUUUCUGCAUUCUAAAGUGAAUUCUAAGUCUCAAUUUCAUUACUUUGCUUGCUAAUGCUUUAAGAACGUUUGUUUUCCCUAUCUUUUCUUUGUUAACCAAUACCCCAAGCCCUGUUACAACCCUUAACUUCUAUCUUGAGUGUUAUGUGUUUCAAAUUGUGGAGUUUGAAUUUGGUAUGAGCAUAUGGUGUCACUGGUUCUCGCAUCUAAGUAGUGACAUUCCAUUCAUGAGAUCAUAUCUAAACAUGCUUAUUAACUCCAGAAAUCGCGUUCUUUGUUAUACAUAUAUGUGAGCAUUCGUUUUCAUAUCUACAUCAAUCUUCUCACAUAUACCUAGUAUAAGGAGUAUAGUCAGAAAAUCCGUGUGAAAAUAGAGUGUAUAUCCAGUAAGGAAUUGAGGGAAUUCUCUAAGGCAUGUUACUACAUUCAAAAUGUUGUUUUAAUUGAUUAAAUGCGAACUAGUAAAUGGUGACUAUGAUUAAGUAUGCUCGAUGGUAAGGAUGACUAAAAUAUGUGUAAGUAAUGAUUUUUAGCAUGUCAUGUGCAUUGGAAAUCCGUAAGACAAUUGUUGGAAGGUCUAGGUUGUGUUUUGUUUUGAUUUGUUUUGCUCGAGGAAAAGCUAAGUGUGGGGGAAUUUGAUAGGAGCAUAUUUAUGCAACUUAGUUAGCUUGUUCUUGUGCAUUUAUGUUGUUUUCCUUAGUUAUUUUAGUGUUUAAAGUCAUUUUUGUGCAAUUUCAGGUUUUAAGGACAAAGUAUGCAAAAAGAUGCAUUUUGGAGCCUUUUGGAGCAGUUUUGGACAUCAAAUGGAUUGCACAUGCUUGGAGCUAAGAAGAUGGACGAAAUUGAAGAUCAAAGGAGCGUAGGAUUGAAUGAAGAUGUGAAGAAUUGGAUUCAAGACAAAUAAAGAAUGAAGAGUUCAAAAUUGCAAGCCAAAGUUUCCAAAGUUGGAAGUUUCUAUUCUUCGAGGUUUCCAUUCUUGAUGGUUUCCAUCUUUGGCUCUAAACUUUCCUAAUCCUAAUUCACCUAUGUUCCAGCUGCAAGGAGGCUUCCUAAAUAUUUUAGGACACUAAAUAAAUGCUUCUAGAAGACCUAGACCUAUCCCUAAUCUUUGCCGCACCCACCUUCCUAUUUUUCCUACUUUACCUUCCUUGUUUCCCUUUCUUGUUUUCCUAGUUCUUGCAAUUAAACACAUUCCUGUUUUGUUCCAUCCCUUGCUGCACAAGGGAGAGAUUCUCCUUCCUAUUUUAUGUCCUGAAACAUAUUUCCUUUUCCCUAAAACCCUAUGCCGCACCUUACAUCCUUUCUUGCCUAUUUUCUGACCCAAAACACAUUCCUAAAUCUGCCCUACAAUUUCUGCCGAAUUUCCCUUUCCUUUUCUCUUUAAUUCCUGCACCUUUCUUGCCUAUUUUUUUACCCAAAAUCACAUUCCUUUUCCUACAUAAAUCUUUCCCUAAAACCACUUCAAAUUCGUAGCCCUUCCUUCCCCUAUAAAUAAAGGUCCUUGCUGACCAUUCUAAGCACUCCACCCUUCACCAUAACCUACCUACAUCCAUCCACCACCAUAAUUCACCACAAAUCAUCACCAAACACCCUUGUGUCGCAGCAAAGAAGAAAGAAGGAGACCCUUGGACGUGCUUGCCAUUCAAGACGUUGGAUUGUUGGAGCGUUUCUAGGUGUAAUCUUUCUUUUGUUUUCAAUGUUUAAGUUUAAUAAUCUUUGUGUUG
This 7041-nucleotide long non-coding RNA is filed under the name Malus domestica (apple). RNAcentral describes it as "long non-coding RNA (MDOM_LNC019797)". Lineage: Eukaryota; Viridiplantae; Streptophyta; Magnoliopsida; Rosales; Rosaceae. The record is from RNAcentral.